AACGAACGCUGGCGGCAUGCCUAACACAUGCAAGUCGAACGAGACCUUCGGGUCUAGUGGCGCACGGGUGCGUAACGCAUGGGAACCUGCCCUUAGGUUCGGCAUAACUCCCCGAAAGGGGUGCUAAUACCGGAUAAUGUCUUCGGACCAAAGAUUUAUCGCCUUUGGAUGGGCCCGCGUUGGAUUAGCUAGUUGGUAGGGUAAAAGCCUACCAAGGCGACGAUCCAUAGCUGGUCUGAGAGGAUGAUCAGCCACACUGGGACUGAGACACGGCCCAGACUCCUACGGGAGGCAGCAGUGGGGAAUAUUGGACAAUGGGCGAAAGCCUGAUCCAGCAAUGCCGCGUGAGUGAUGAAGGCCUUAGGGUUGUAAAGCUCUUUUACCCGGGAUGAUAAUGACAGUACCGGGAGAAUAAGCUCCGGCUAACUCCGUG
Molecule: ribosomal RNA, 433 nt
Filed under: uncultured bacterium
Lineage: Bacteria
Description: partial 16S ribosomal RNA
Rfam family: Bacterial small subunit ribosomal RNA
Source: RNAcentral